AAAAGGGCCCUGUCGAAGAACAGAGUUGAGAUCCUCUUCCGACGUAAAAUUAAGCAGGAACUUCCCAUUGCCCAAAUCAUUGGCCGUAAUGCGAUCUUCCAUACCCGAUUGUGAUGGCAUUUUCCGAAGUAACUUCUCGACAUUUUGUUUCUUUGGAUUGAGCACCUUCCCAAUAAGUGAUAAACUAAAUUCGCUAGCAAUCAGUGUAUCAUCCUGGUCCAUCAGUUUGAUCGGUGCGUCGUCA
RNAcentral lists this long non-coding RNA (244 nucleotides) under Brassica rapa (field mustard). Its description in RNAcentral is "long non-coding RNA (BRAP_LNC002454)". The record is from RNAcentral. Lineage: Eukaryota; Viridiplantae; Streptophyta; Magnoliopsida; Brassicales; Brassicaceae.